This 500-nucleotide ribosomal RNA is filed under the name uncultured bacterium. Its description in RNAcentral is "partial 16S ribosomal RNA". It matches the Rfam family "Bacterial small subunit ribosomal RNA", at positions 30 to 523 of the family's 1533-position model. The record is from RNAcentral.
AUUGAACGCUGGCGGCAGGCCUAACACAUGCAAGUCGAGCGGAUGAGAGGAGCUUGCUUCUCGAUUCAGCGGCGGACGGGUGAGUAAUGCCUAGGAAUCUGCCUGGUAGUGGGGGACAACGUUGCGAAAGGAACGCUAAUACCGCAUACGUCCUACGGUAGAAAGCAGGGGACCUUCGGGCCUUGCGCUAUCAGAUGCGCCGAGGUCGGAUUAGCUAGUUGGUGAGGUAAUGGCUCACAAAGGCGACGAUCCGUAACAGGUCGGAGAGGAUGAUCAGUCACACUGGAAGUGAGACACGGUCCAGACGCCUAGGGGAGGCAGCAGUGGGGAAUAUUGGACAAUGGGCGAAAGCCUGAUCCAGACAUGCCGCGUGUGGGAAGAAGGUCUUCGGAUUGUAAAGCACUUUAAGUUGGGAGGAAGGGUUGUAGAUUAAUACUCUGCAAUUUUGACGUUACCGACAGAAUAAGCACCGGCUAACUCUGUGCCAGCAGCCGCCGUAA